Molecule: transfer RNA, 71 nt
Filed under: Candidatus Pacearchaeota archaeon
Lineage: Archaea; Nanobdellati
Description: tRNA-Phe
Rfam family: tRNA
About the family: Transfer RNA (tRNA) molecules are approximately 80 nucleotides in length.
Source: RNAcentral
GGGUCCAUAGCUCAAUGGGAGAGCACACGACUGAAGCUCGUGGUGUCGGGGUUCGAUUCCCCGUGGACCCA